RNAcentral lists this ribosomal RNA (253 nucleotides) under uncultured bacterium. RNAcentral's name for it is "partial 16S ribosomal RNA". It matches the Rfam family "Bacterial small subunit ribosomal RNA", at positions 524 to 776 of the family's 1533-position model. The record is from RNAcentral.
GACAGAGGGUGCAAACGUUGUUCGGAAUUACUGGGCGUAAAGCGCGUGUAGGCGGCUUUGCAAGUCGGGCGUGAAAUCCCACGGCUCAAUCGUGGAAGUGCACUCGAAACUGCAGAGCUAGAGUCCUGGAGAGGAAGGUGGAAUGCUUGGUGUAGAGGUGAAAUUCGUAGAUAUCAAGCGGAACACCGGUGGCGAAGGCGGCCUUCUGGACAGUGACUGACGCUGAGACGCGAAAGCGUGGGGAGCAAACAGG